RNAcentral lists this ribosomal RNA (517 nucleotides) under uncultured bacterium. RNAcentral describes it as "bacterial SSU rRNA". It matches the Rfam family "Bacterial small subunit ribosomal RNA", at positions 791 to 1301 of the family's 1533-position model. The record is from RNAcentral.
UAGUCCACGCCGUAAACGUUGUGCACUAGACUGUUGCGGUUUUGACGCCGUGACGGUCGGAGAGAAAUUGUUAAGUGCACCGCCUGGGGAGUACGGUCGCAAGGCUAAAACUCAAAGGAAUUGACGGGGGCUCACACAAGCGGUGGAGCAUGUUGCUUAAUUCGAAGCAACGCGAAGAACCUUACCUGGGUUUGACAUGCACGGAUUAGUUCUGGGAAACUAGGAUAACGCCCUUUGGGUGGAACGUGCACAGGUGCUGCAUGGCUGUCGUCAGCUCGUGCUGUGAAGUGUCGGGUUAAGUCCCUUAACGAGCGCAACCCUUAUCGCUAGUUGCCAGCGCGUAAUGGCGGGGACUCUAGCGAGACUGCCGGUGUCAAACCGGAGGAAGGUGGGGAUGACGUCAAGUCCUCAUGGCCCUUACGUCCAGGGUGGCAAACGUGCUACAAUGGCGCGUACAAAGCGAGGCGAGGUCGCGAGACGGAGCAAAUCGCAAAAAGCGCGCCCCAGUUCGGAUUGC